AUGGAGUGACGCGGAAGGUUAAGUUUACGGACUGACGGAAUAGUCCCGUGAUGCUUAUAUCCGGAGAGUAGGUAAAUCCGCUCUCGUAAGGUAAGCAGCAGCAGUAGGGAAGCCUUCGGGUGAACCAUCUAACUGAUACCAGCCGCCAAGAAAUAGCUUCUAAGCAUAUUGAUUUGUAACCGUACCCUAAACCGACACAGGUGGUCGAGGAGAGUAUCCUCAGGCGCUCGAGAUAACUAUCCAAAAGGAACUCGGCAAAUUAACCCCGU
Molecule: ribosomal RNA, 269 nt
Filed under: Alexandrium margalefii
Lineage: Eukaryota; Dinophyceae; Gonyaulacales; Pyrocystaceae
Description: partial Bacterial large subunit ribosomal RNA
Rfam family: Bacterial large subunit ribosomal RNA
Source: RNAcentral